RNAcentral lists this ribosomal RNA (1164 nucleotides) under Aquimarina sp. RNAcentral describes it as "bacterial SSU rRNA". It matches the Rfam family "Bacterial small subunit ribosomal RNA", at positions 38 to 1204 of the family's 1533-position model. Lineage: Bacteria; Pseudomonadati; Bacteroidota; Flavobacteriia; Flavobacteriales; Flavobacteriaceae. The record is from RNAcentral.
AGCGGCAGGCUUAACACAUGCAAGUCGAGGGGUAACAGCGCAGCUUGCUAUGCUGACGACCGGCGCACGGGUGCGUAACGCGUAUAGAACCUACCUUAUAGUAAGGGAUAGCCCAGAGAAAUUUGGAUUAAUACCUUAUAGUAUCAUUUGAAUGCAUAUUUAGAUGAUUAAAGAUUUAUUGCUAUAAGAUGGCUAUGCGUUCUAUUAGCUAGUUGGUAUGGUAACGGCAUACCAAGGCUACGAUAGAUAGGGGUCCUGAGAGGGAGAUCCCCCACACUGGUACUGAGACACGGACCAGACUCCUACGGGAGGCAGCAGUGAGGAAUAUUGGACAAUGGAGGCAACUCUGAUCCAGCCAUGCCGCGUGUAGGAAGACUGCCCUAUGGGUUGUAAACUACUUUUAUAGAGGAAGAAAUGACACUACGUGUAGUGUUUUGACGGUACUCUACGAAUAAGGAUCGGCUAACUCCGUGCCAGCAGCCGCGGUAAUACGGAGGAUCCAAGCGUUAUCCGGAAUCAUUGGGUUUAAAGGGUCCGUAGGCGGGUUUGUAAGUCAGUGGUGAAAGUUUUCGGCUCAACCGGAAAAUUGCCAUUGAUACUGCAAGUCUUGAAUCAUUGUGAAGUGGUUAGAAUGUGUAGUGUAGCGGUGAAAUGCAUAGAUAUUACACAGAAUACCGAUUGCGAAGGCAGAUCACUAACAAUGUAUUGACGCUAAGGGACGAAAGCGUGGGUAGCGAACAGGAUUAGAUACCCUGGUAGUCCACGCCGUAAACGAUGGUUACUAGCUGUUUGGACUUCGGUCUAAGUGGCUAAGCGAAAGUGAUAAGUAACCCACCUGGGGAGUACGUUCGCAAGAAUGAAACUCAAAGGAAUUGACGGGGGCCCGCACAAGCGGUGGAGCAUGUGGUUUAAUUCGAUGAUACGCGAGGAACCUUACCAGGGCUUAAAUGUAGAUUGACAGGUUUAGAGAUAGACUUUCCUUCGGGCAAUUUACAAGGUGCUGCAUGGUUGUCGUCAGCUCGUGCCGUGAGGUGUCAGGUUAAGUCCUAUAACGAGCGCAACCCCUGUUGUUAGUUGCCAUCGAGUCAUGUCGGGAACUCUAACAAGACUGCCAGUGCAAACUGCGAGGAAGGUGGGGAUGACGUCAAAUCAUCACGGCCCUUA